This 1407-nucleotide ribosomal RNA is filed under the name uncultured Bordetella sp. RNAcentral's name for it is "partial 16S-23S ribosomal RNA intergenic spacer". It matches the Rfam family "Bacterial small subunit ribosomal RNA". Lineage: Bacteria; Pseudomonadati; Pseudomonadota; Betaproteobacteria; Burkholderiales; Alcaligenaceae. The record is from RNAcentral.
AGUCGAACGGCAGCAUGGACUUCGGUCUGUAUAGAGUGGCGAACGGUGAGUAAUGACGGAACGUGCCUAGUAGCGGGGGAUAACUACGCGAAAGGUAGCUAAUACCGCAUACCCUUCGGGGGAAAGUGGGGACCCUCGGGCCCCGCACUGCCGGAGCGGCCGAUAUCGGAUUAGCCAUUGGUGGGGUAACGGCUCACCAAGGCGACGAUCCGCAGCUGGUCGGAGAGGACGACCCAGCUACGACUGGGACGAGACACGGCCCAGACUCCUACGGGGAGGCAGGGGAAUUUUGGACAAUGGGGGAACCUGAUCCAGCCAUCCCGCGUGUGCGAUGAAGGCCUUCGUCAGAAGCACUUCUUGGCAGGAAAGAAACGGUACGGGAUACGACCCUGUGCAACUGACGGUACCAGAGUAAUGCUGCAAUUUGCUUUAACUACGUGCCAGCAGCCGCGGUAAUACAUAGGUGCAAGCGUUAAUCGGAAUUACCGGGCGUAAAGCAUGCAGGCGGUUCGGAAAGAAAGAUGAAAUCCCAGAGCUAACUUUGGAACUGCAUUUUUAACUACCGAGCUAGAGUGUGUCAGGAGGGAGGUAAUUCCCGCGUAGCAGGAAUGCGUAGAUAUGCGGAGGAACACCGAUGGCGAAGGCAGCCUCCCUGGAUAACACUGACGCUUAUGCACGAAAGCGUGGGGAGCAACAGGAUUAGAUACCUUGGCAGCCCACGCCCUAAACGAUAACUAGCUGUUGGGGCUUCGGCCUCGGUAGCAGCUAACGCGUGAAGUUGACCGCCUGGGGAGUACGGUCGCAAGAUUAAAAACUCAAAGGAAUUGACGGGGACCCGCACGCAAGCGGCGUGGAUGAUGUGGAUUAAUUCGAUGCAACGCGAAAAACUGCGACUAUUCUUGACAUGUCUGGAAUCCCGAAGAGAUUUGGGAGUGCUCGGAGAACCGGAACACAGGUGCCGCAUGGUUGUCGUCAGCUCGUGUCGUGAGAUGUUGGGUUAAGUUCCGCAACGAGCGCAACUCUUGUCAUUAGUUAUACAGGGCACACCGGUCGAGACUGCCAGGUGACAAACUCGGAGGAAGGUGGGGAUGCACGUCAAGUCCUCAUGGCCUGAUGGUAGGGCUUCUUCACGUCAUACAAUGGUCGGGACAGAGGGUCACAACCCGCGAGGGGGAGCCAAUCCUAGAAACCCGAUCGUAGGUCCGGAUCGCAGUCUGCAACUCGACUCGGGUGAAGCUUCAAUCGCUAGUAAUCGCGGAUCAGCAUGUCGCGGUGAAUAUGCCCUGGCCCCGAAGACACCGCCCGUCACACCAUGGAGUGGGUUGACCAGGAAGUAGUUAGCUCGGUUCCAAGGAGGGCGAUUACCAUGGUAGGAUUCAUGAUCAAAGGGAAGUCGUACUGGCGUGC